This 305-nucleotide ribosomal RNA is filed under the name uncultured bacterium. RNAcentral describes it as "bacterial SSU rRNA". It matches the Rfam family "Bacterial small subunit ribosomal RNA", at positions 335 to 637 of the family's 1533-position model. The record is from RNAcentral.
UUUCCUACGGCACGCAGCAGUGAGGAAUAUUGGUCAAUGGGCGGGAGCCUGAACCAGCCAAGUCGCGUGAGGGAAGACGGUCCUACGGAUUGUAAACCUCUUUUGCCGGGGAGCAACGGGGUCCUUGCGAGGGCCCGAUGAGAGUACCCGGAGAAAAAGCAUCGGCUAACUCCGUGCCAGCAGCCGCGGUAAUACGGAGGAUGCGAGCGUUAUCCGGAUUUAUUGGGUUUAAAGGGUGCGUAGGCGGGCUGUUAAGUCAGCGGUAAAAUCGAGAGGCUCAACCUCUUUCCGCCGUUGAAACUGUC